GGCGGGGUAGCUCAGGUGGUUAGAGCGCACGACUCAUAAUCGUGAGGUCGCGGGUUCGAGUCCCGCUCCCGCUACCA
RNAcentral lists this transfer RNA (77 nucleotides) under Candidatus Aquiluna sp. IMCC13023. RNAcentral describes it as "tRNA-Met". It matches the Rfam family "tRNA". Rfam says of the family: Transfer RNA (tRNA) molecules are approximately 80 nucleotides in length. Their secondary structure includes four short double-helical elements and three loops (D, anti-codon, and T loops). RNAcentral also lists the same sequence under 4 other names. The record is from RNAcentral. Lineage: Bacteria; Bacillati; Actinomycetota; Actinomycetes; Micrococcales; Microbacteriaceae.